GAUGAACGCUGGCGGCGUGCUUAACACAUGCAAGUCGAACGGGAAACCUUUUAUUGAUGCUUCGGCAGAUUUAGCUGGUUUCUAGUGGCGGACGGGUGAGUAACGCGUGGGUAACCUGCCUUAUACAGGGGGAUAACAACCAGAAAUGGUUGCUAAUACCGCAUAAGCGCACAGGACCGCAUGGUCCGGUGUGAAAAACUCCGGUGGUAUAAGAUGGACCCGCGUUGGAUUAGCUAGUUGGCAGGGUAACGGCCUACCAAGGCGACGAUCCAUAGCCGGCCUGAGAGGGUGAACGGCCACAUUGGGACUGAGACACGGCCCAGAAUCCUACGGGAGGCAGCAGUGGGGAAUAGUGCACAAUGGGGGAAACCCUGAUGCAGCGACGCCGCGUGAAGGAAGAAGUAUCUCGGUAUGUAAACUUCUAUCAGCAGGGAAGAUAGUGACGGUACCUGAUGAAGAAGCCCCGGCUAACUACGUG
Molecule: ribosomal RNA, 478 nt
Filed under: uncultured bacterium
Lineage: Bacteria
Description: partial 16S ribosomal RNA
Rfam family: Bacterial small subunit ribosomal RNA
Source: RNAcentral